AGGACAACAGAGAUUGGAAAAUACAUUUGCAAUUCAGCUUCGUUGCAUUCUUCUAAACGGAGGGUCAUAUUCAUCAAAUCAAAGACCAUGAACUGCCUGAUGAUCUUCAUGCUAGUGGCUCUUUUAGUCAUUGCUUGUGGAAUACAAGAGUCAUCUGCAUCUCUACACUUAUGUUUCAUUAGUGGGGGCGGGUGCAGAAACCUUCGUUUGUGCCUUGCUUCUGGUGGUACUAACAUUGGAAAAAUGGGAUGUACAUGGCCGAAUGUAUGCUGUAAUUGAUACUGGCCAGAGUCUUGACAAUGGCCACUGAGGAUCCCAUGGAACAUUCACCAAGAGUAGGGACUAGGGGGUGUUAACCCCUGUGUCUUGGCCAGAUGCCCAACUGGCAACUCCUACUGAAUUGACUAUUCCUGUUUGACCCUUUUGUCAUGAUUUGUACUUCCCUUUUGCAGAAUAAAAUUGCAAUGAGAAAACAC
Long non-coding RNA from Oncorhynchus kisutch (coho salmon), 476 nucleotides. RefSeq lists it as uncharacterized. The record is from RefSeq and is a predicted model, not a curated record. NCBI's taxonomy places the organism in Eukaryota, Metazoa, Chordata, Actinopteri, Salmoniformes, Salmonidae. The transcript has 3 exons.